RNAcentral lists this ribosomal RNA (253 nucleotides) under uncultured bacterium. RNAcentral's name for it is "partial 16S ribosomal RNA". It matches the Rfam family "Bacterial small subunit ribosomal RNA", at positions 524 to 776 of the family's 1533-position model. The record is from RNAcentral.
UACGUAGGGUGCAAGCGUUGUCCGGAAUUAUUGGGCGUAAAGAGCUCGUAGGCGGUUUGUUGCGUCGGCUGUGAAAACCUGAGGCUCAACCUCAGGCCUGCAGUCGAUACGAGCAGACUAGAGUGUUGCAGGGGAGACUGGAAUUCCUGGUGUAGCGGUGAAAUGCGCAGAUAUCAGGAGGAACACCGGUGGCGAAGGCGGUUCUCUGGGCAUGUCCUGACGCUGAGGUGCGAAAGCAUGGGGAGCAAACAGG